Molecule: long non-coding RNA, 2384 nt
Organism: Micropterus dolomieu (smallmouth bass)
Lineage: Eukaryota; Metazoa; Chordata; Actinopteri; Centrarchiformes; Centrarchidae
Exons: 2
Source: RefSeq, a predicted model, not a curated record
GCGAAGUGUGUGAAGUUCAUGCAAAGUAGUAUGUAGUAAGCUGGGGUUGUCCACUUGACUGUCCACUCGACAGUCUUACCACAGAAUACCGUCCUGCGUACUUUUGUGAGAAGUUAGACAUUUCUUCCCGAAAUGUAUCGUACAGUUAUUCACGUGUGUAUCAUAGCUGUGUGCACACAGUGUUUUGUGUUAGCAUUCAUUAGCAAAGUGAAUGGACUCUUAGCCAGUUAUAGCUAACGUUAACUCAGCUGUAUACUAUUGGACUAGUUCACGGGUUUCGACGUGAAAACCGUGAAGAGUUAUCUGAAAGCUACAACUGCGAAAUCAAAGCUCUGAGUUCUUUAGAAAGAGGGACAGCGACCACGUCAGUUUGGACGCAUGCUCGCACCCCUGUUCACCCCAGCGGCAGAGCGCGGGACAGACCACGCCAUCUUUGGACACCUGCUUGCCCUUGUUUUGCUGGAGACCGGGAAAGACUGUUGAACUCUGCACAGUGGACUGAACUGUUGCUUAAGACAGAAAGUCAUCUGGCACAGUAAAGUCAUCUGUAAAGGAGACUGAUGGCUAACAAUUGAUGUGCCAAUCCCGUCUAGACAGCCGGUACUUCAUCCAAUUAUGUUGGGAAUACAAACAUGAUCGCAACAACAAUGGCAGGAUUACCAACACCAUAAAGAGGAGAGGAAGAAGUGGAGGAAGACAAGUGAUGAGGAUGAAAUUGACAAAGGAAGGAUAGACGAAGACAAGCCUGGUCUCUGGAAGACAUGAUGGUAUCAAUAGUGAGAGAUGUUGAUUUUAUUUAGAGGGAGGAACAAAAUACCAAUAAAUGUGUCCUCUUGCCAUGGUGCCAUUGAGAGGCCAUAAGUGAUACAAAGGCUUGUGAUUGAAUUCAUGUGUGUAGCAUAGAACAUGUCAAUAUUGAGACGUUAACUCACAUACGGAUCCUUGCACACACAAACACACACACACAUUCAAUUUGUUGGUGUUGCACAGCACAAGGAGGACUAGCAGAAGCAUGAGAUGUCAGUGGAAUUUUGUUUAACAAUCUUCUGACUUCUACCAGAGGUUUACCUAAUAAUUUUCAUAAUCUUCACAGUGUUAUAUGAAAAGGGAUAAGAACAGAACACACCUGCCUGCUAAAUUUUAGCAUCCUUAAGGUUGUUUAUGCUGUUUUGAUCAAAAAGAAUACUCAUACAAUACUAUUUUGCAAAUUAAAGGCAAUUGCAAUGUAUCAGCAUCAGCUUCCCAGUCAAUGCUUCUUCAGGAAGGCAGCCAUUUUGAAUUGAAUAUGAAAAUUAUCACCAUUUACAGCAAAAUUAAACACUUUUCUGCUUGGGCCCUAAAAACUAAAAUAUUUAAAUAGAAAAUUUAAUAUGACGUAAAGGACCUAAAAAUCUUAUGGAAAGCCAAGGUCCAAUCAUAUUAAAUGAUCCAGGCUUUUAACUUUUUAACUUGAAAUCCAACUUUUAAGGAAACAUUGAUAACAAUCAGACAGUGGGAUGAAGGCACAAUCCCCAAAACCAUACCAGUGUACACAGUUUACCAUAGACAAUAUUUGUAUUUAGUUUAAUUCUGAAUUUCUGCACCAUUUAUGUUUUCAUUCAUGCUCUUAGGAAAAGUGCUGGACAUAGUUCUGAAUCAGGUUAUGUUUCAAAGAUAUCACUUAAUAAUACAUGCCCUUUAGGAUUUGUGGUAGAAAUAAUAAAAUAUUGAUUUUUCAUUUGACAUUCUGCGAUGCAAUUAAAGAAGACCCUGGACUAAAAAGUUAGAACCCAGCCUGUGACGUCUAAUGGCUGUGUGGAGAUUUUAUUUGGUGUGGGGGAACAAAAAAUGCUGACGUAAUGUCUGAUGGCCAGCUCCACAAAUAGGCAUCCCGCCAGACAGUUAAAGAUGAUAUGUGGAUAGAUCAGCCUCUUUAAAAAGGCUUGCACUGACUCAAACCAGUCUGAAAUUCUAUUGCUCAGAUGAGUGAAUGUCAGGAGGAGCAGAUUGGUGUGCUUGCACUUUUGUAUGUUUGUGUGUGUUUAUGUUUUUAAUUUCUCUAUCCACUACCUUGUUUACUUACCCCCCUUCUGAUGCAGUGUUUUUUGGGAGACAUCUGUCCUCCGUUUUCUCCCUUCAUUUGAUAUAGCACAAAAUGUAAACCACCUUUUCUGGUAUGUCCCUCAAGGUUGUGUCACCAGGUGCUGGCCACUUCUUUUCUUAAUUCUGCCAGUAUUUCAGUAGUCUUUUUGUGUUGGUUUGUGAUCUGCAGCACAGUAUUGGCUUGUUUUUUAUUUUUUUAUUUCCCUUAGUUAGUUGAAGCAACCGCCUCCACAUUUCAGUUUUGCUGAUGUUUUUGGCCAGUCCUCAGAUGCAUUUGUUGAUAAAGGUCAUUCUGUUCUUAA